CCAAUAUUAAAAGUCGCUAAACUCCGCUUGCUGAAAUGUCAGCCAGCGUCGUAUAUAAACCCCGACAGACGUACGGGUGAAAAGACAGCCAAGCAGGAGAUAUCAUGAGGAUCACUCUCGUUUCAUUCAUGGUUUUCAUUGUCGUGGCUUCUUGUGGCGACUUCGCAUUUGGGUGCAACACCUGUAACCGCGAUGGAUGCGACAGAUAUGAUCAUAUGCAAGGUCAUUCGUCGUGCAUUCAAGAGUGGUGCCAGCUGAUCCACCAGGACGGCAAAAGAUGCUGCGUCAAGAAGUAGCAGUAAUGUGGACACGGUCGUGGACAAGAGUUCUUCAACGAAAGAGCCAACAGUGUUUCACGGAAAGCUUUUUCUAUACCACCUCACAGAAUAUAGCUGAAUGUCGAAAACCAAGAAAUAAUAAACAUAGACUGAUAUA
Ornithodoros turicata is the source of this 435-nucleotide long non-coding RNA. RefSeq lists it as uncharacterized. The transcript has 3 exons. NCBI's taxonomy places the organism in Eukaryota, Metazoa, Arthropoda, Arachnida, Ixodida, Argasidae. The record is from RefSeq and is a predicted model, not a curated record.